Long non-coding RNA from Apodemus sylvaticus (European woodmouse), 1515 nucleotides. RefSeq lists it as uncharacterized. The record is from RefSeq and is a predicted model, not a curated record. NCBI's taxonomy places the organism in Eukaryota, Metazoa, Chordata, Mammalia, Rodentia, Muridae. The transcript is spliced from 5 exons.
GAAUGAGUGAUGGCCAUCCAGUGACCAGCUGAAACUGACUGCCUUACAAGUCGCAAGUGUAUGAUUAAGAGAGAUACGUUCACAACUCCCAGAUUGACCUCCUUCCUGUUCCACAGAGUUACUGAAGGGAGUGAGUUAUGGGAUAACUUAUAAGACGGCAGGCUCUUACUCAAGAUAGCUCUUGUCAAAACAGGAAGAUGAAACUCAGGUUUCAACGAGGAGACCACAGCUUAUCCCCAAGGAGACAUCUCCUGAAGAGGUGGAAUAUCUAGAGGAGUCCUGCAAUAUUUGCUGAGCUCUAGCUGAGGAUGCAGACACUUUGACACGUUCAGCUUCAGACUUGGAAUCUCUUGUGGUUAGCAGCUGAAGUCCAUAGGUGGUGUUUUCAUUGUCCUAUUGACAUGGAUUUCCUCAAGAAGAGGAGGAAGAGGAGGAGAAGGAGGAGGAGAACAACUACAUGCUUGGUGGUGACACUUCAUUGUAGCUAGAAUCCAGAGUGGAGUAAACAGAUGUGCUGGAGAAUCUCUGUAAUGGAGGGUGUAACGAGGAAGCCUGGUCUGGGCUGCAGCAGGUAGCUGAGGAAAAAAGGAAGAAAGAGCAACCCGGAGCUCAGAGCUUCCUCCCAUGCUCAGGAAUUGCCACCAGUACCAUUACAUUGGCCUCUUCUUGUAUGCCUCUGGAAACCACAUGUGUCCUCUGUUUGUAAUGGUUUGGCUAAUGUUGCUAGAUCCUCUUGGACAUUGUUUUUAGAACUUAAAGAAACAUUGCUUUAAAGGUUUAUCAGGAUGUAUUUAAAAUAAAACCAUCCUCUUCUCAUUUGGUAUGCAAUUGAUUCUUCCAGUUUCCUCAGUCAAAACUCAUUGAUCAAAUUUACUCUUUGAGAAAUACAGACAUGUAUAUAGCAUAUUGGGGAUAUUCUCACCCUCCCUCACACUCUCUUAUCACCCUUCCAGCCCUGACACCCUCAAUCCUCAUGUCUUUCACACACUCAUGUCUUUGUUUUAUGAACCAGUGAUUUUUAACCAGGGCCAUCUGUGUUACUAUGGCUUUAUCUACUGGAACUGGUUGGCUCAAAAUAGACUGUGACUUUCCCUUCUCCCAAAUCCACCAUAGCUACCAGUUCAACCCCUCCAUCCCCUUCCCAAUCCAUGACUGACUGUUAGAAAGCUCAGUCUUAUACAGGCCCAGUACAGGUACCCAUAGCUACUAUGAGAUCAUACCCUGAAGAUAUGUAGCCAUUUUCCUUGUCUUCCAUUUCUGCUUCUACUGUGUUCCCUGAGCCCUAGAUGGGGUAGUAUGAAUGACCUGACAACCUGAACAGGUGGAAGUAUAUGUGUUCACUUAGAUAAAACAAAGACAAUAACCAAUAGGAAAUAUAUUAUAAGUACUGCACAUGCUAUAGAAAAUGUAGAGAAUAAGAAAACUCAAACAGUGCUGUAUAAAUUCAAGAUCAUUGCUCUAUGUCAAUGUCAGUAGCGUAUCACUUCCAAAGGAUAUAUAUCACUUUUGAAAUUA